CGACAGUGACAGGAUGUCAUUUCGAAUGGUUGCUUGUAUUGCCGUUGAGGCCAUAUUAAUUCUUGCGAAGAUUCGCUCCAAAGGUUACUUUCAAGCUAUUUGAUGUUCUUGAGAUCCAUUUCCCGUUCUUUUUUAUUCCUCAAUCUUAACAGUUGCUGCUCUUCCUAUUAUUGCCAGCUUUGUACAUGGUGAUGUAAAACCUGAAACCUUUUUUGCUUGGUCAGCCUGGAUCCGCUCAAGAAAAGAAGCUUUUUCUCAUUAAUUUUGUUACUUUACUUAUUGAUGGCUCAUUACUGCAGGGAGGUAAUUCUUGUUUGUAAGAAGAAAAUGGAGACUUCUCCAGAGAUGUUAGGUAGACUCUGUCCAGCUCCAUUCAAGCAUUUUCAUGAGACUGUCACUUGAAUGAAAUUUAAUGAAGAACCAAAGUACCAAAGACUUGUUUCUCUCUUUGAUGAUUUAAUCGAAGGACCUGCUUCGAGACCCAUCAGGAUCUAUGGAGCUCUAGAGGUUGGAACUAAGCGUAGAGGAAUGGCUUUAAAUCUGGAAGAAGACGAAUAACCUAUGAAAAAUGUUCGGUUGGGGAGCCCAACAACUUGGUGGGAUUCGGUUUAUAAUCCUAGGUGGCCCACAGAGCAGCGAAGUGGUCUGUUCUGGUGGCCACGUCAGCAAAAGUGGGACCCACCUGUCAUAAACGUGCUCAAGACGCCCUAAGCCGCCGAUCAGUGUCUUAUGCAGAAAGUUUACCACAGGUUUAGUCGAAAAUUGUGAAGUCGUGUUUUCUGCAAACCUAGCCCUCAAUGUGGUGGUUUCAUGCAAUUAACUAGUUCUGGUGCUUAAAGUCCCAUAAGGUCCCCGCCACCCGCCACCCCUACAUGACACAUAGCAUCAUCGGCUCUUCAUACUCCAGAUCAAUGAUUAGAUGACUUUAAGCGUCAGAUGGCUCUAAAUAGCUGGGUUAUAUGAGUACUAUUUAGCUCUAAUUUAUUUUCUUUAAAAAGACCGGAGUUCCACUUACCGUCUCUUUGUGAUUUAGGUCAAAAAGGAAACUGCCUUGUGGUUAUCGUUGUUGCGAACUUGCGUUAUCUUGGUGUAAGCUCCAAUUUUUAAUGUCGUCCACAGUAGUCAUGCCUAAAUUUUACCUGAUAUCCUGGUGAAAGCAGCUAUCCGGAACUAUACUAUUCUGUUUUUCUGUAACUAAAGCAUUUGUGCUCGUUGUUAGUGAUGAAAGGGUUUUGUUUUGACUUAUUAUGAUUUAAGCUUAUAAGUAACUCCUGUUUGUCUGGCCUAUUUCAAUUGUUAUCGAUCCUGUUCUGUAAAGAUGUUUGUCUUGCCUUUUGUAGCUACCACUUCAAUAUAGCUGAUUCAGAGCUGCAUCAGCAUAAAGAAAAAAAUGCAGUAAAGCUGGUUUGUUGAGUAGUUGUGCAGCUUCUGCAGCUAUGUGAAGGAAAAAUGGGCGAAGAACCUAUAUAUCACCUCAAUCUGCUACUGGCGACCCGUGUGUUAGACGUAGACGGCAAGCUGAACUCUUGUGCCAAUUGUAAAGAAUCAUGCUCGGCUGUUUUGGUUGGUUGCUGUCUAUCUAUGAUCCAACUUUUGAUAAAAUGGACUCCGAAAUGAGAGCGGGGGAACAUCGGUGCGUUUUAAAGUCAUGCACCUGAAAUGCGACAUCGUUUUUCCUGCCGUCUGCUAGUUGUUGUUCUGGCCUGUUCUCGUUUUGUUGCAGUAAAGAACAUCGUAAACAGAGGUCCC
This is a long non-coding RNA of Triticum dicoccoides, 1749 nucleotides long. RefSeq lists it as uncharacterized. The transcript is spliced from 4 exons. NCBI's taxonomy places the organism in Eukaryota, Viridiplantae, Streptophyta, Magnoliopsida, Poales, Poaceae. The record is from RefSeq and is a predicted model, not a curated record.